GAACCUGAACCUGAACCUGAACCAAACCAUAGAAGGACGAUUUCGGUCCGGUUCGAAGCCGGUUUCGAUUUUGACCGAACCGGUUCCGGUUCAAAACCGGACCGUGGCCACCCCUACAAUAGAGAAUGGAAUCCAAUGCAACACAACUUAGAGUGAGCUGCGUGAGAUCUAGUUCAAGCCAUGGCGAGUUCAGGAGUUGGAUUUGACUCGACUUUAAAGGAAUUGGUGCUAGGAGCAGUGGACGGUACUUUCAACAAUAGGGAUGGGUAGAUCAACAGUCGGAGAAGGGCUUGGGGGUCAGAUGACCGGAAAAUUUGUUUCUGGCUUUUGUUUUUUUUUAUAUAAUAAAUUGUAAACGAGGCAGUAUAUGUUUUGAAGGCUGAAUGAAAAUUUUGACAGGGAAAACGAAGGAAAUUUUGAAAUAGCUUAGAACACAGGUUGAAAGAUUUUUGAAAGUUUGCGGAAGCUAUGGAAAUUUGAAUUGAAUUUAGACUCUGAUACCAAAAUUGAUGUAGAGCAAAGAGAAAAAGACCAAGAAGGAGAAAUCAAGAACUAAUCCUUGAAAAAUAGAACUAAUUCUCCAAAAUAUUAUUGAUCUUAUAAAAUUGUCAUAAGAAAACUUGUCUAGUAACAAUAGAAACCCUCAGUCUUAUUUAUAGAAUUAGGAAU
RNAcentral lists this unclassified non-coding RNA (669 nucleotides) under Hevea brasiliensis (rubber tree). The record is from RNAcentral. Lineage: Eukaryota; Viridiplantae; Streptophyta; Magnoliopsida; Malpighiales; Euphorbiaceae.